CAGAAAAUUGCUCUCUUCUCUUCUCUUCUCUUCUCUUCUCUUCUCUUCUCUUCUCUUCUCUUCUCUUCUCUUCUCUUUCUUCUCUUCUCUCUUCUCUUCUCUUCUCUUCUCUUCUCUUCUCUUCUCUUUUCUCUUCUUCUCUUUUCUCUUUUCUCUUCUCUUCUCUUUUCUCUCUUCUCUUCUCUUCUCUUCUCUUUUCUCUUCUCUUCUCUUCUCUCUUCUCUCUUCUCUUCUCUUCUCUUCUCUUUUCUAUUUUCUCUUCUCUCUUCUCUUUUCUCUCUUCUCUCUUCUCUACGGAGACACCUAGCAGACUCGAUAUAGACCCCAAUGAAGUGAGGGGCCGGGACCUUUUCUCUGGUUGAUAACAUUAACUUAGUUAAUGUGGUUUGGUGACAAUGGAACUUUACCAAGUUAAUGCCAAUGGAAGAACACAGUUCUUUCAUAGAGAUGCCAAUAAAGCCACUGUAGGAAGAUAUCCCCAAUAAUCUCUGUGUGGGACAUGGCAUAUGAAAUAUUUCAAACAAGGAGCAAUGUGGAGGACAGUGAGUCACAGGCUUACCCCUGAAGAGAUUUCCCAUUCCCAGGAGAGACGGUGAAGCAGAGGAGGAGGGCAAGUUCCCAAAAGUCAUAAAGCAAGGCUGCCUGGAAGUUACCACUCCUGACUUAAGCUUAGCCUAGUAAGAGAAGCCAACUGGUCCUUGGACAGAGUCUGGGAAGGAAAAUUCUACGAAGUUGUGUGAAAGCCCAAACCUGCAAGAGGGUGUAGAAAAACAAUUCAAUGAACAGAUUCAAGAGCCAGAGACCUAUUGGCUGAUGCCACUCUGUGCCUAAAACUCCUCAGUUGAAAGGAUAGCAAGGUACAAGUAGAAGCCUGCUUUGGGAGAUUAUUUGCAAAGAUUGUAAGAUCAUUCUGUAGGGUGUUUAGCCAAGUUCCCAUCAAUGAGAAACUCAUGGGUAAGACUCCAGUAAAAAGUCAAUUUGCGCAGCAGAAGCUAUUGGCUACAGAGCGGGACAUUGCUCCAUUACAGGAAGACGUAUCAGUGAGCACAUCCUUCAUGCAGUUGUAGGCUGGAUAACAAGACUGAACAGCAUGGAAUACCUUUAUUCUUGGCCCCAAAUAGGAGCAGAAGGAGAUGAGCUUGCAGAGCAACUUCCCCAAUCUGUUUGGGGUUGGGCGGUUUCGGAUUUCAGAGCUGAGUACACACGGCAUAUAAUGAAGCCCAAGCGAGGAAAAUGAGCACACGACAAACCUAACAUCCUCUGGAUGCUGACCACACCUGGUUUGUUCCAUGCUUACCAUCACAACAGACCCACUGUUGGCAACCUCUACUAAAUUCUGUUUCUGCGAAUUGUACUUAAGGAUUCUCAUGGAAGUGAGAUCAUGUGGUAUUUAUCUCCCUAUGCCUGGCUUUUUCACUUAACAUGAAACACUUGGCUUUUGUCUGAAGAGUAAAUGUUAGAGGCUUC
Molecule: long non-coding RNA, 1467 nt
Filed under: Cricetulus griseus (Chinese hamster)
Lineage: Eukaryota; Metazoa; Chordata; Mammalia; Rodentia; Cricetidae
Description: lncRNA (ENSCGRG00015036287.1)
Source: RNAcentral